Molecule: non-coding RNA, 667 nt
Organism: Toxotes jaculatrix (banded archerfish)
Lineage: Eukaryota; Metazoa; Chordata; Actinopteri; Toxotidae
Source: the annotation of a RefSeq genome assembly
AUAACUGCUGCUGUGAAGAGAAGAAUUGUCAGACUCAGUGUUGAACAUCAGCUACUUUCUCCUGUUGCUUUAAACCUUCUUGUAGAGAUGGAACAUUGGCUGUGGAUGAUUCUUGCUGCUCUUUUCUUUGAGUGUAAAGGAGAAGACAAAGUGAUGCAGCCAACAGGAGAUGUCAUUGCUGCUGAAGGAGAGACAGUUAUACUCCCUUGUAAAUAUGAGACCAGUGGCACAAGUUAUUAUUUAUUCUGGUACAAACAAGAAGCAAAUGAUUUUCCCAAGCUUGUACUUCGACGUUUCUCUGGAACAAAAGAUCCUGAAGAUUCUCAGAAAGACAGAUUUCACGCUGAGCUCAAAGAGAAAUCAGUUCCUCUGAAGAUCCAGAAGCUUCAGCUGUCUGACUCUGCUGUGUACUACUGUGCUCUGAGGCCCACAGUGACAGGAAACAGCACAACUCUGUACAAAAACCUUUGGAGCAAAGACAACAGAAUACUCCACAACAUCCACUAGAGGGAGUUGUUACAUUGAAAGACUACAAUGUUUGUACCUUUAACACAGGGAUGUCAAAGUCAAAUACACAGAGGGCCAAAAAAACAAAUUUGCUACAAGCCAAGGGCCGGGCUGAUUCAGUGUUUAUUAAAACAUAUUGAAAUGAUUACACAUAGCCUAU